GCAUGUGGGGCCUUCCCCGAUGCAACCGUCGCCCCAGCUGCACUUCCACACGCAACAGCAACAGCAGCAACAGCAGCAGCAACUGCAGCAGCCGCAC
This 97-nucleotide microRNA precursor is filed under the name Petromyzon marinus (sea lamprey). RNAcentral's name for it is "miRNA (ENSPMAG00000011039.1)". The record is from RNAcentral. Lineage: Eukaryota; Metazoa; Chordata; Hyperoartia; Petromyzontiformes; Petromyzontidae.